This is a long non-coding RNA of Prunus dulcis (almond), 737 nucleotides long. RefSeq lists it as uncharacterized. The transcript is spliced from 3 exons. Lineage: Eukaryota; Viridiplantae; Streptophyta; Magnoliopsida; Rosales; Rosaceae. The record is from RefSeq and is a predicted model, not a curated record.
AUGGUAUGUUAAGCGUUGCACUGUGCCAUCCUGAUGGGAAUGUUUUUGGUGGUGCUGUUGCAGGCGCAUUGAUAGCUGCUGAGCCUGUUCAAAUCAUUGCUACCAGUUUUCUGCAAGAAACCAGCAACAACACCAGCAAGGAAUUGAAAAGGAGGCACUCAGCGGAAUCUUCUACCGCAACUAGUAUGCUAGGCAAUUCAUCAUGCUUGGCAAUGGUUCCCUUACUAAUGCCUCCACCAACAAUAGUUCAUGAUGAGAGUUGCAUUUCGCCUACAUCUGCUCUCUUGGAAUUUCCAUCCCAUAGUGGAGCAGGUAACGUCAUUACUGCAAACCGUAACAUGAACCCUGCUACACUUCCGGGUUUUGAUCAGAAUGCCUUGCAGCCAAUGCCAGAUCCAACAUCUCCUCACAUUGACACCUUUAUUCCUUAGACAUAAAGGUCUAUGCAGAUUUGGUGACUAGAGUUGAAGUGUUUUAUCCAGUUUGCAAGGCCACAGUGCAAGAUUUCUACCAGUGACUGAGAUAACCGUAAAUGAGAUCUUCAACUUGUUAUUGUUGUAGUUUUGAUGUUGUAACUUAUUGUAGAUUUUGUGCUUUGCUUUUUAUUGAUAAUGUGGACUUGGAGUUGCAUGAAGAUACUGUUAGACUUUUGUGGUAGGAAACAGAAAGGUGCCAGAAACAAUGCACCAACAUGAGAUCAAAUCUCUGAAUCCAAUUUUUACCUUGAGAAUUUUCAA